RNAcentral lists this ribosomal RNA (477 nucleotides) under Eumunida picta. RNAcentral describes it as "partial 16S ribosomal RNA". It matches the Rfam family "Bacterial large subunit ribosomal RNA", at positions 1833 to 2560 of the family's 2925-position model. The record is from RNAcentral. Lineage: Eukaryota; Metazoa; Arthropoda; Malacostraca; Decapoda; Chirostylidae.
CUAUAUGAAAAUAUAUAAAGUCUAACCUGCCCACUGAUAUAUAAUUAAAGGGCCGCGGUAUUUUGACUGUGCGAAGGUAGCAUAAUAAUUUGUCUUUUAAUUGAAGACUAGAAUGAAUGGUUGGACGAGAAAUAAACUGUCUCUUUAAAAAAAUUUGAAUUUUACUUUUAAGUGAAAAGGCUUAAAUAAAUUUAAGGGACGAUAAGACCCUAUAAAUCUUUAUAUUUUUAUUUUUUUACUUUAAUUUGUAUGUAUAAUAAAUAAAAACUAAAAAAAUAUUUUAUUGGGGCAAUAAAAAUAUAAUUUUUAACUGUUUUACUAAAUUAACAAUAAUAUUUGAAUAUAUUAAAAGAUCCUUAAUAAAGAUUAUAAGAUUAAGUUACUUUAGGGAUAACAGCGUAAUUUUUUUUAAGAGUCCAUAUCGAAAAAAAAGUUUACGACCUCGAUGUUGAAUUAAAAUUCCCUUAUGGUGCAGAA